Molecule: long non-coding RNA, 431 nt
Organism: Camelina sativa (false flax)
Lineage: Eukaryota; Viridiplantae; Streptophyta; Magnoliopsida; Brassicales; Brassicaceae
Source: RefSeq, a predicted model, not a curated record
UCUUCUAUUUAGAAAUUACAACAACUCAGUAAAUCAAUAAGAAUCAUCCCUUUGAGACAUCCAAACCAUGAAUCAUCACAGAUAGUUGUAAUCUGCAUAGUCAUGUUCGCCCUCUUCCCUUUACAUGAGUGUGGGAGGAUGGAUGUUGGAGAGAUAGAGAAACUAAGUCUCAAUCAAGGUCAACCAGACUGUAGACAAGAAAGACAUAACAACUUGGAUUGUUAGUGCUGCCAUGAGAAGGGAAAAGAAACGAUUCAAUGUUGGGUACUAAUAUUAAUUCCGGACGCUAAACGAUACAAUGCUUACUCUCUUGUCCACCCCAGAACUAAAACCUUAUAAUAAUCGAAUAAGAAUGUAUCAUGCUUAUUUCAUUUCAGACUCUCCAAAACAUUACUAUAUUGCUUAAUCUCAAAUCAUAUGAUUCUUGCUGA